GACGAACGCUGGCGGCGUGCUUAACACAUGCAAGUCGAACGGAAAGGCCCUGCUUUUGUGGGGUGCUCGAGUGGCGAACGGGUGAGUAACACGUGAGUAACCUGCCCUUGACUUUGGGAUAACUUCAGGAAACUGGGGCUAAUACCGGAUAGGAGCUCCUGCUGCAUGGUGGGGGUUGGAAAGUUUCGGCGGUUGGGGAUGGACUCGCGGCUUAUCAGCUUGUUGGUGGGGUAGUGGCUUACCAAGGAUUUGACGGGUAGCCGGCCUGAGAGGGUGACCGGCCACAUUGGGACUAAGAUACGCCCCAGACUCCUACGGGAGGCAGAAGUGGGGAAUAUUACACAAUGGGCGGAAGCCUGAUGCAGCAACGCCGCGUGCGGGAUGACGGCCUUCGGGUUGUAAACCGCUUUCGCCUGUGACGAAGCGUGAGUGACGGUAAUGGGUAAAGAAGCACCGGCUAACUACGUA
Molecule: ribosomal RNA, 468 nt
Filed under: uncultured bacterium
Lineage: Bacteria
Description: partial 16S ribosomal RNA
Rfam family: Bacterial small subunit ribosomal RNA
Source: RNAcentral